Molecule: ribosomal RNA, 309 nt
Filed under: uncultured bacterium
Lineage: Bacteria
Description: bacterial SSU rRNA
Rfam family: Bacterial small subunit ribosomal RNA
Source: RNAcentral
GACGAACGCUGGCGGCGUGCUUAACACAUGCAAGUCGAGCGGUAAGGCCCUUCGGGGGUACACGGAGCGGCGAACGGGUGAGUAACACGUGGGUGACCUGCCCUCAGCUCUGGGGAUAAGCCCGGGAAACUGGGUCUAAUACCGGAUAUGACUCCACGGUGCAUGUCGUGGGGUGGAAAGCCUUGUGCGGCUGAGGAUGGGCCCGCGGCCUAUCAGCUUGUUGGUGGGGUGAUGGCCUACCAAGGCGACGACGGGUAGCCGGCCUGAGAGGGCGACCGGCCACACUGGGACUGAGACACGGCCCAGACU